RNAcentral lists this ribosomal RNA (804 nucleotides) under uncultured Phormidium sp. Its description in RNAcentral is "bacterial SSU rRNA". It matches the Rfam family "Bacterial small subunit ribosomal RNA", at positions 26 to 873 of the family's 1533-position model. The record is from RNAcentral. Lineage: Bacteria; Bacillati; Cyanobacteriota; Cyanophyceae; Oscillatoriales; Oscillatoriaceae.
AGGAUGAACGCUGGCGGUAUGCUUAACACAUGCAAGUCGAACGGAACCUUCGGGUUUAGUGGCGGACGGGUGAGUAACGCGUGAGAAUCUGCCUUCAGGACGGGGACAACAGUUGGAAACGGCUGCUAAAACCCGAUGUGCCUACGGGUGAAAUAUUUAUAGCCUGAAGAGGGGCUCGCGUCUGAUUAGCUAGUUGGUUAGGUAAUGGCUGACCAAGGCGACGAUCAGUAACUGGUCUGAGAGGAUGACCAGUCACACUGGGACUGAGACACGGCCCAGACUCCUACGGGAGGCAGCAGUGGGGAAUUUUCCGCAAUGGGCGCAAGCCUGACGGAGCAAUACCGCGUGAGGGAGGAAGGCUCUUGGGUCGUAAACCUCUUUUAUCAGGGAAGAACACAAUGACGGUACCUGAUGAAUCAGCAUCGGCUAACUCUGUGCCAGCAGCCGCGGUAAUACAGAGGAUGCAAGCGUUAUCCGGAAUUAUUGGGCGUAAAGCGUCCGCAGGUGGUUUUGGUAGUCUGCUGUCAAAGCGCGAGGCUCAACUUCGUAUCGGCGGUGGAAACUCCAAGACUAGAGUUUGGUAGGGGUCACGGGAAUUCCCAGUGUAGCGGUGAAAUGCGUAGAUAUUGGGAAGAACACCAGCGGCGAAAGCGCGUGACUGGGCCUGAACUGACACUCAUGGACGAAAGCUAGGGGAGCGAAAGGGAUUAGAUACCCCUGUAGUCCUAGCCGUAAACGAUGACAACUAGGUGUUGCCCGUAUCGACCCGGGCAGUGCCGUAGCCAACGCGUUAAGUUGUCCGCC